GUAACUGUAAGCCUGCUUCAAGCUAGCCCACCCCCUUUUUAAAGUGUGUAUAAAAGUCAAGUGCUCGGAGUCGCUUCCAAGAUGGCCAAAUAGGAACAGCUCCAGUCUGCAGCUCCCAGCGAGAUCAACACAGAAGACAGGUGAUUUCUCCAUUUCCAACUGAGGUCUCUCUCUGGCCCUCCUGGUCUCGCAAUGGUGAGACAUGCCUUUCACCUUCCACCAUGAUUGUGAGGCCUCCCCAGCCACAUGGAAUUCCCAGGUGCUGCACCCAGGCAGUCUGACGAAGCUGUUCCCGCUCCCAAUCUGGCCAGACACGGCUCUGCGUAAUUGCGCUCUGCGGUCCACCUGCUCCCCCGCGGCAGUCCCCCAGCUCCGCAGCAGGUGGGGCCGCCGCACAACCUCGCAGGCCCAGUGAGACAUAGGAAACGCCAAACUGGGUUACAAGUGUGAUAGAUGACUCCGUGUCGGAAUACAGAAGCAGAGGGAGGGCUCUGGGAACAAAGCCCUGAGGAUGAGACGCAGUCCUCAAACUCGACAGUUCACAGUCCGCAGGGGAGCAGACGUGGGAGCAAUA
This 574-nucleotide long non-coding RNA is filed under the name Homo sapiens (human). Its description in RNAcentral is "HSALNT0331922". The record is from RNAcentral. Lineage: Eukaryota; Metazoa; Chordata; Mammalia; Primates; Hominidae.